GUGGUUUUGGCUCAGUGGUACAGUGCUCACCUAGCAUGUGUGAAGCACUGGGUUCGGUCCUCAACACCACA
Molecule: transfer RNA, 71 nt
Filed under: Marmota monax (woodchuck)
Lineage: Eukaryota; Metazoa; Chordata; Mammalia; Rodentia; Sciuridae
Description: tRNA.Ala
Source: RNAcentral